UACGAAGGGUGCAAGCGUUACUCGGAAUUACUGGGCGUAAAGCGUGCGUAGGUGGUUUGUUAAGUCUGAUGUGAAAGCCCUGGGCUCAACCUGGGAAUUGCAUUGGAUACUGGCAGGCUAGAGUGCGGUAGAGGAUGGCGGAAUUCCCGGUGUAGCAGUGAAAUGCGUAGAGAUCGGGAGGAACAUCUGUGGCGAAGGCGGCCGACUGGGCCGGAUCCGACGCUGAGGCGCGAAAGCGUGGGGAGCAAACAGG
Molecule: ribosomal RNA, 253 nt
Filed under: uncultured bacterium
Lineage: Bacteria
Description: partial 16S ribosomal RNA
Rfam family: Bacterial small subunit ribosomal RNA
Source: RNAcentral